RNAcentral lists this ribosomal RNA (432 nucleotides) under uncultured bacterium. RNAcentral's name for it is "partial 16S ribosomal RNA". It matches the Rfam family "Bacterial small subunit ribosomal RNA", at positions 29 to 506 of the family's 1533-position model. The record is from RNAcentral.
AACGAACGCUGGCGGCAUGCCUAACACAUGCAAGUCGAACGAGGCCUUCGGGCAUAGUGGCGCACGGGUGCGUAACGCGUGGGAAUCUGCCUUUCGGUUCGGAAUAACUCAGGGAAACUUGAGCUAAUACCGGAUAACGUCGCAAGACCAAAGAUUUAUCACCGAAAGAUGAGCCCGCGUAGGAUUAGCUAGUUGGUGAGGUAAAGGCUCACCAAGGCGACGAUCCUUAGCUGGUCUGAGAGGAUGAUCAGCCACACUGGGACUGAGACACGGCCCAGACUCCUACGGGAGGCAGCAGUGGGGAAUAUGGGACAAUGGGCGAAAGCCUGAUCCAGCAAUGCCGCGUGAGUGAUGAAGGCCUUAGGUUUGUAAAGCUCUUUUACCCGGGAAGAUAAUGACGGUACCGGGAGAAUAAGCCCCGGCUAACUCCGU